CUGGCGGCACGCCUAACACAUGCAAGUCGAACGCAGUAGCAAUACUGAGUGGCAAACGGGUGAGUAUAAUGUGGGAAUCUGCCUUUUGGUUUGGAAUAACACGGGGAAACUUGUGCUAAUACCGAAUAAGCCCUUACGGGGAAAGUUUUAACGCCGAAAGAUGAGCCUGCACUUGAUUAGCUAGUUGGUAAGGUAAAAGCUUACCAAGGCAACGAUCAAUAGCUGUUCUUAGAGGAAGACCAGCCACAUUGGGACUGAGACACGGCCCAGACUCCUACGGGAGGCAGCAGUGGGGAAUCUUGCACAAUGGGGGAAACCCUGAUGCAGCGAUGCCGCGUGAGUGAAGAAGGCCCUUGGGUUGUAAAACUCUUUCGUCGGGGAAGAAAAUGACUGUACCCGAAUAAGAAGGUCCGGC
RNAcentral lists this ribosomal RNA (415 nucleotides) under uncultured bacterium. RNAcentral's name for it is "bacterial SSU rRNA". It matches the Rfam family "Bacterial small subunit ribosomal RNA", at positions 36 to 497 of the family's 1533-position model. The record is from RNAcentral.